AUACUUACCUGGCAGGGACGAGACCAUGAUCGAGAAGGUGGGCGAGGCUCAGCCAUUGCACUCCGGUUGUGCUGACUCCUGCGAAUUCCCCAAAUGUUGGAAUCUCGGCUGCAUAAUUUCUGAUGGGACAGUGGUAGCCUAGUGGGUAGGGCUUUG
This is a small nuclear RNA of Trichomycterus rosablanca, 156 nucleotides long. RefSeq annotates it as U1 spliceosomal RNA. The record is from RefSeq and is a predicted model, not a curated record. The transcript has a single exon. Lineage: Eukaryota; Metazoa; Chordata; Actinopteri; Siluriformes; Trichomycteridae.